AUGGGAUCAAUUUUAUAUUUUUAGCUUCCUUCUUUAUUGCUAGUUUCUUUAUUGGUUAUUAUUUUACUCCCCCUCAAUAUAGCAAUCGUAAAAGAUAUAUCAAUUUGGUCAUUGAAAAGAUAUUGCUAUUCAAGUAUUUCAGACUUUAAAAGUAACUCCAUUUGAUCAGAGAUAUUCAUUGAAAGUUAAAGUAUAUAUAUAUCCAAAAGAUGAGUGAAUACAAAGAUGUUUCAAUACAUAAGUGUUGACUUAGAGUACAAAAGACAUGGAUAGAAAC
RNAcentral lists this long non-coding RNA (277 nucleotides) under Elaeis guineensis (African oil palm). Its description in RNAcentral is "long non-coding RNA (EGUI_LNC082656)". The record is from RNAcentral. Lineage: Eukaryota; Viridiplantae; Streptophyta; Magnoliopsida; Arecales; Arecaceae.